RNAcentral lists this ribosomal RNA (324 nucleotides) under uncultured Streptococcus sp. RNAcentral's name for it is "bacterial SSU rRNA". It matches the Rfam family "Bacterial small subunit ribosomal RNA", at positions 1057 to 1382 of the family's 1533-position model. Lineage: Bacteria; Bacillati; Bacillota; Bacilli; Lactobacillales; Streptococcaceae. The record is from RNAcentral.
AGCUCGUGUCGUGAGAUGUUGGGUUAAGUCCCGCAACGAGCGCAACCCCUAUUGUUAGUUGCCAUCAUUCAGUUGGGCACUCUAGCGGGACUGCCGGUAAUAAACCGGAGGAAGGUGGGGAUGACGUCAAAUCAUCAUGCCCCUUAUGACCUGGGCUACACACGUGCUACAAUGGUUGGUACAACGAGUUGCGAGUCGGUGACGGCGAGCUAAUCUCUUAAAGCCAAUCUCAGUUCGGAUUGUAGGCUGCAACUCGCCUACAUGAAGUCGGAAUCGCUAGUAAUCGCGGAUCAGCACGCCGCGGUGAAUACGUUCCCGGGCCUU